UACGUAGGGUGCAAGCGUUGUCCGGAAUUAUUGGGCGUAAAGAGCUCGUAGGCGGUUUGUCGCGUCUGCUGUGAAAACCCGAGGCUCAACCUCGGGCCUGCAGUGGGUACGGGCAGACUAGAGUGUGGUAGGGGGAGACUGGAAUUCCUGGUGUAGCGGUGAAAUGCGCAGAUAUCAGGAGGAACACCGGUGGGCGAAGGCGGGUCUCUGGGCCGAUACUGACGC
Molecule: ribosomal RNA, 225 nt
Filed under: uncultured bacterium
Lineage: Bacteria
Description: partial 16S ribosomal RNA
Rfam family: Bacterial small subunit ribosomal RNA
Source: RNAcentral